Molecule: ribosomal RNA, 540 nt
Filed under: uncultured eukaryote
Lineage: Eukaryota
Description: SSU rRNA
Rfam family: Eukaryotic small subunit ribosomal RNA
Source: RNAcentral
UGUAUUUAUUAGAUAAAAAACCAAUGCCCUUCGGGGCUUUUUGGUGAUUCAUGAUAACUUUACGGAUCGCAUAGCCUUGCGCUGGCGACGGUUCAUUCAAAUUUCUGCCCUACCAACUUUCGAUGGUAAGGUAUUGGCUUACCAUGGUUUCAACGGGUAACGGGGAAUUAGGGUUCGAUUCCGGAGAGGGAGCCUGAGAAACGGCUACCACAUCCAAGGAAGGCAGCAGGCGCGCAAAUUACCCAAUCCCGACACGGGGAGGUAGUGACAAUAAAUACUGAUACAGGGCUCUUUUGGGUCUUGUAAUUGGAAUGAGUACAAUUUAAACCUCUUAACGAGGAACAAUUGGAGGGCAAGUCUGGUGCCAGCAGCCGCGGUAAUUCCAGCUCCAAUAGCGUAUAUUAAAGUUGUUGCAGUUAAAAAGCUCGUAGUUGAAACUUGGGCCUGGCUGGCGGGUCCGCCUCACCGCGUGCACUCGUCCGGCCGGGCCUUCCUUCUGAAGAACCUCAUGCCCUUCACUGGGCGUGCUGGGGAACCAGG